Molecule: ribosomal RNA, 482 nt
Filed under: uncultured bacterium
Lineage: Bacteria
Description: partial 16S ribosomal RNA
Rfam family: Bacterial small subunit ribosomal RNA
Source: RNAcentral
AUUGAACGCUGGCGGCAUGCCUUACACAUGCCAGUCGAACGGUAACGGGCCUUCGGGUGCCGACGAGUGGCGCACGGGUGAGUAAUACAUCGGAACGUGCCCGAUCGUGGGGGAUAACGAGGCGAAAGCUUUGCUAAUACCGCAUACGAUCUACGGAUGAAAGCAGGGGACCGCAAGGCCUUGCGCGGACGGAGCGGCCGAUGGCAGAUUAGGUAGUUGGUGGGAUAAAAGCUUACCAAGCCGACGAUCUGUAGCUGGUCUGAGAGGAUGAUCAGCCACACUGGGACUGAGACACGGCCCAGACUCCUACGGGAGGCAGCAGUGGGGAAUUUUGGACAAUGGGCGCAAGCCUGAUCCAGCCAUGCCGCGUGCAGGAUGAAGGCCUUCGGGUUGUAAAAUGCUUUUGUACGGAACGAAAAGCCUUCUUUUAAUACAGGAGGGUCAUGACGGUACCGUAAGAAUAAGCACCGGCUAACUACGUG